UUCCUGAUGGUACAGUGGUAAGACUCUGCUCUUCCACUGCAGGGGCCCCAGGUUCAAGUCCUGAUUGAGGAG
This 72-nucleotide transfer RNA is filed under the name Ovis aries (sheep). It matches the Rfam family "tRNA". From Rfam's summary of the family: Transfer RNA (tRNA) molecules are approximately 80 nucleotides in length. Their secondary structure includes four short double-helical elements and three loops (D, anti-codon, and T loops). The record is from Rfam by way of RNAcentral. Lineage: Eukaryota; Metazoa; Chordata; Mammalia; Artiodactyla; Bovidae.